RNAcentral lists this ribosomal RNA (389 nucleotides) under uncultured bacterium. Its description in RNAcentral is "bacterial SSU rRNA". It matches the Rfam family "Bacterial small subunit ribosomal RNA", at positions 28 to 417 of the family's 1533-position model. The record is from RNAcentral.
GACGAACGCUGGCGGCGUGCUUAACACAUGCAAGUCGAGCGGUAAGGCCCUUUCGGGGGUACACGAGCGGCGAACGGGUGAGUAACACGUGGGUGACCUGCCCUCAGCUCUGGGAUAAGCCUGGGAAACUGGGUCUAAUACUGGAUAUGACUCCACGGUGCAUGUCGUGGGGUGGAAAGCCUUGUGCGGCUGAGGAUGGGCCCGCGGCCUAUCAGCUUGUUGGUGGGGUGAUGGCCUACCAAGGCGACGACGGGUAGCCGGACCUGAGAGGGCGACCGGCCACACUGGGACUGAGACACGGCCCAGACUCCUACGGGAGGCAGCAGUGGGGAAUCUUGCGCAAUGGGCGAAAGCCUGACGCAGCGACGCCGCGUGAGGGAUGACGGCCU